Aquila chrysaetos chrysaetos is the source of this 6564-nucleotide RNA transcript. It is a transcript of the gene named trafficking kinesin protein 1, with no coding region annotated. The transcript is spliced from 16 exons. NCBI's taxonomy places the organism in Eukaryota, Metazoa, Chordata, Aves, Accipitriformes, Accipitridae. The record is from RefSeq and is a predicted model, not a curated record.
AUGUGAGGGAAACGCAAAUAGAAGCGACACUUACAGUGCCCUGCUAGCCAAAUGGUGAAAUUCUGGAGGGGAAAAGGAGGCUCAAGAAAAGAAGAAUGCUGUGCAGUUGAUCAAGAACAAAAAGAGUUGAAAACCAGACUUCUUGAAGCCAACUCUAGCAAAGGGAAAGAAUUCUGUUUCUGCCAGCCAGACCCAGUCUCCAGUGCUGGUCCCCCUGAUGGCAGUUUGUACAACCCUGUGAAACCUGCCAAGCUGGACGCCACAGCUUUGCACGACUGCACUUUGGCCGCCACUGUGCCUCCUUCGGAGCUGUCGAAUCAUGCAGUCCUAGCCUGUGACACAGGCAUUCACGAAGAGCACUAUGUAAGUGAAGCAGUAGAAGAUGAUGUGCCAGACUGCAGAGAGUACAGAGAUGCCUGCACCAUUACUGAUGUGUGCAAUAGUACCAAUCUUCCUGAAGUUGAAAUCAUCAGUCUACUGGAAGAGCAGCUGCCUCAUUAUAAGCUAAGAGCAGAUACAAUCUAUGGUUAUGACCACGACGACUGGCUUCAUACACCUCUCAUUUCCCCUGAUGCUAAUAUUGACUUAACAACUGAGCAAAUAGAAGAGACCUUGAAAUACUUUCUUUUAUGUGCUGAAAGAGUGGGCCAGAUGACUAAAACAUACAAUGACAUAGAUGCUGUUACACGUCUUCUUGAAGAGAAAGAACGGGACUUAGAAUUAGCUGCUCGGAUUGGUCAGUCACUGUUAAAGAAGAAUAAAUCACUGACAGAAAGAAAUGAGUUUCUGGAGGAGCAAGUAGAACACAUCAGGGAAGAGGUUUCUCAGUUGCGGCAUGAGCUCUCCAUGAAAGAUGAGCUGCUCCAGUUCUAUACCAGCGCUGCUGAAGAAAGUGAGCCGGAGUCCCUCUGUUCCACCCCGCUGAAGAGGAAUGAAUCUUCCUCCUCUGUCCAGAACUACUUUCAUUUGGAUUCUCUUCAAAAGAAACUCAAGGACCUUGAAGAGGAGAAUGUUGUGCUUAGAUCUGAGGCCUGUCAGCUGAAGACUGAAACAAUUACUUACGAAGAGAAAGAACAACAGCUUGUCAAUGACUGUGUAAAAGAGCUAAGGGAUGCAAACAUACAGAUUGCCAAUAUCUCCGAAGAGUUAGCAAAGAAAACUGAAGAUGCUGCCCGGCAGCAAGAAGAAAUCACCCAUCUUCUCUCUCAGAUAGUCGAUCUGCAGAAAAAGGCAAAAGCUUGUGCAGUUGAAAAUGAGGAGCUUGUCCAGCAUUUGGGAGCAGCUAAAGAUGCCCAGAGACAGCUCACAGCAGAGUUGCGAGAGCUGGAAGACAAGUAUGCAGAGUGCAUGGAAAUGCUUCAUGAGGCUCAAGAAGAGCUGAAAAACCUUAGGAACAAGACCAUGCCGAAUGCCAUAUCACGUCGGUACCACUCUCUUGGUCUCUUCCCUAUGGAUUCUUUGGCAGCAGAGAUAGAAGGGUCAAUGAGGAAAGAACUGCAUUUAGAUGAACCCGACUCUCCUGACUUGGCUCAUCAGAAGCGGGUCUUCGAGACGGUGAGAAACGUUAACCAAGUUGUCAAGCAGAGAUCCAUGACUCCAUCACCAAUGAAUAUCCCAGGCUCUAACCAGUCCUCUGCUAUGAACUCAGUCAUUUCUAGCUGUGUCAGCACUCCACGUUCCAGUUUCUAUGGGGGAGACAUCGCUAACAUUAUGAUAGACAACAAGACCAAUAGCAUCAUCUUAGAGACAGAAUCCUCUGACAAUGGAAAUGAAGACAGGAUGAAGAAGCCUGGAACUCCGGGGACUCCAGGCUCCAGUGACCUAGAGACUGCCCUUCGUAGGCUGUCCCUCAGGCGGGAGAAUUACCUCUCGGAGCGCAAGUUCUUCGAAGAAGAGCAGGAAAGGAAGUUGCGGGAACUGGCAGAAAAGGGUGAACUCCGUAGUGGUUCUGUUACCCCCACAGAGAGCAUCAUGUCGCUGGGAACGCACUCCAGAUUUUCAGAAUUCACUGGAUAUUCAGGAAUGUCUAUCAGCAGUCGCUCCUACCUGCCAGAAAAGCUUCAGAUUGUGAAACCACUAGAAGGUUCUGCCACUUUGCACCACUGGCAGCAGCUGGCUCAGCCUCACCUGGGCGGCAUCCUGGACCCAAGGCCCGGGGUUGUCACCAAGGGCUUCAGGACCCUCGACCUGGACCUGGAUGAAGUGUACUGCCUUAAUGACUAUGAGGAAGAUGAGACAGGUGACAUUUCUUACAAGGGCCUAACUACCUCGACGCCAGUUCAGCACACAGAGACCUCAGGUGAGAGGUCACAAGCACAAGUGACUGUUUCAGACAACAAGAAUAACCCCCGCCAAUCUCAGGCUUACACAGAGGAGAUGCAGGAGUCCGCGGCUGACGAUGAUGAGGGGUCUGGUGAGGGAAACUCAUUAAGUCCAGUAAAACUGACAUCUUUACAGGAUUUUGAUUACUGGGCCAUUCUCGCAUCUCUUCAGAACAGCAUCCAUAGCAUUGCUUUGUGUGUAGCAUCUGCACGUUAAUGCGUGCAGUAGUUAGAACAUAACCAUUCUAACAUUGGCUCAAAAAUCCUUUCUUUAAUAAUCUUUUAAUUUGACUUUUUUUUUUUUUUUUUUCAGUAACAGCAUCUGUGGUCAAUAUUUUACUCUUAUUUUGAUAAGAGAAGGCUGCUAAAAGGAAGUGGUUCGUUCACAAACCUUUGUGUGGCACGUAUGCAACUUGUAUGUGUAUUUAGUGCACGCUCUUCAGUGUAUGUAAUGUACGGACAAUAUAUAUUUUGUAUGCCUAUAGCGCAGAUAUUCUUCUGACUGUUCAUAAGAGGUGACACUAUGCUUCAGAUUUUUUGUACUUUGGGAAAAACCCAAAGAUUAAAUGAUGACAAAAAGGUGCCUCUAAGUUGCCUUUGCUGAAACAAAUGGAAGUGCCUUGAAAAUCAAGGAAAGACAUUUUGCAAGUUUAAUUCAGUUACCUCAGGUACAGUUACCUGUUUUUAAAUUCCCUCUGAGAUGAGGAAUUAAGAGGAUGUUUUUAUGCAGAGAAUAAUGACAUUUCCCUCAUUCCAUCACACUAUUAAAUUCUAUCCUUCCUAUUCAUACCAUAUUAAGACUUAAACAUUUUAAAGUGACACAGUACUGCAUGAGUUAUUAGAUAUUCUAAACUGACAUUUGCAGUCUAUUAUUGCACAAGGUUACAGGUUCUCAGACUAUAGAUGUGUUUUGAGUUUGUGUGGUUUAUUUUUUGGGGGUUUUUUGGGGGGUGUGUUUGUUUUGUUUUAAUAAGCUAUAUAGGAGUGUUAGUCUUCAUUAAGAUUUGCCACUGGUAAAGAAUUAUAUUUAGUCGAGAAUCAGAAAACUACCAGAACUCCUUUUUCUUCAGACUUCUUGUUUUUACAUAACUACUUUAAAUGAAGACACUUCCUUCCCCCUCCUUUUUCUGGAAUAAAUCAUAAUUUUUUGGCUGGUCUGUGGAAGAUUAGAUUGUCUCAGGGCUAGACAAUAAUAUUUCUGUUAUUUUAGUCAAGUGCAGAAUAUCCUCAGUUCUUACUGAAAUGGCAGUUCAGUGCUUUCAGCUAUUGAAUAUAAACUACUUUUUUGCAGUCAGUUGUAUUAAGAUUAAACUUCGAGUCAUAGAAUCAUUUAGGUUGGAAAAGACCCUUAAGAUCAUUGAGUCCAACCAUAAACCUAACAUUGCCAAGUCCACCCCUAAACCAUGUCCCUAAGCACCACAUCUACAUGUCUUUUAAAUACCUCCAGGGAUGGUGACUCAACCCCUUCCCUGGGCAGCCUGUUCCAGUGCUCGAACAUUCAAACCCUUCAACGUCCCUUUCCUUUGGCAGAAAUUGUCUUUGUUCUAUGAGGUCUAUUGCCCAGGAAUAAUGAUUAUAUUAAUUUUUUUAUAUUAAUAUGGAAAUAAAUACUGCCUCUGCAGUAUUUGUGUACAGUUUGGGAUAUUAUCCAGGUUUUUAUCAUUUUGAAGAGUCUGAAUAACAACAGCAAGAAAAGCUGGAGAUCUAGGAAACAUGGACUGAAAUAAUCAAAGACUGAAAUAACUGGCAUUUUUUAAGGUCUACAGAAUAAAAGAUUCAAGAAAAGAUAUGAUUCAUUUUAAAAUGUGUUGCUGCAGAGAGGAAGGGAACAAGCAGUUCUUCAUGUACUCAGGAUACAAUAACUAUGCAAAAAAAAAGCUGUUUGGGUUGCACUUUGGGUGAAGAAUUUUCUAAUUGUAAGAACAUUCAACACAGGAACAUGUUGAAAAUUUGGAAACCUUAUUGUCGUGCACUAUACAUAGACAAGGAUAUAGAUAUAGUUUAGUUCUUUGGGUUUUUUUAAGAACAGAUUUGUAAAACAUCUGUGGGUAAUGAUUUGGAAGAGUUCUUUCUUUGGAGCAGGAAAAUAAAUGUAGACCUGCACUGUGAUUACAAACUGGCAAGAAAGACUAGUAUUUCCCUCCAUUUUCUUUCUCCUUUAUAAUUUCAAUACAGGUCACUGUUAUCAACAGGUUAUUCCCUGGUUACUGCUGAUUUUGCCUGGGAAAACUCUAGCUCUCUCAGACAAGGUUUUUAAUCGUAUUCCCUACCUUUUAAAUUGGCAAAAGCCUAUGAAAUUGUCCUAGUAAUCUUAUUUCAUCUUGUAUUGUUUGCCAAGUAAUUUUAAUACAGUACAGCAAUAGAGAAAUUGAUCAAAAUGAGUAACUUUGAUGUGUAGAAUGAACAAACGCACUGAAAACUUUAAUUUCCCAUUCUUCAUUCUUCCUUCAAAUUGCCCAGCUGCUUAGGAUUCAGGAGCAUCCAUGAGCCACUACUUCAUUAUUAGUUGUGUUACUCAAAUGAAGUAAAGACACUACUGUAUCUGCCUUUUGUUGAAGCAGUCUGUAAAGUGGUAUACAAGGAGAAGGUAAUUGUGGAUGUUUUCAGACUAGGCACUUGCUAAUGUGGCUGUGUUUCUUAGGAUCCACAAUGUGCCCACUGAAGAAUAUCUUUUGGGACCAGAGAUGUAAAGUAUCUCCCUGCAGUUGCCAUUGGCGGGCCAUAGAGCGUGCCGGUCUAGAGCUACAGGUCUUCUAACCUGAGAAGAAAAUGUCUUUGGAAAUACAGUGCCUACAAGGACUGUUUCCAGCAGGUGUAAGUCAUCAUAGUCUUUUGGGUAGGCAUCUGCUUCAUUUGAUAUGUGUGCUUUGAGGCUUGUAUCUUACCUUUUUUUGCGCUGGAGAUGUUCUCUGGCAGAGUACUAUGAGGUCCUGUUCUUGCUGCCUUUUUGUGGGAGUGCAGAGUGCUGCUCGAGAUGAGCCCAAGAGAAGUCAUUUUAACAUCCAGGCUCAGGAGAGCAAGCAUUGCUGGUAGUGCCAAAGGUGUCUUGUAGCCAAAAUAAAUGUAUUCAGAACAGAGUAUCAGUUGUUUCUUGUUGAGUGAUGGAUAGAGUCAGAAAUCAUUCUGACUAAAUAAGAAAAAAUUAGGAACCUUGAUUUUUCCUGUCCCUGUAUUGAAACCUGUAGUAUCCGUUGAUACAUAAAAUAAUUUCCUCACCGUAUAUGCAGAUUAUAUCCCAAUUAUGGCACUGAAUAUUUCAGAAGAAAUAAACACACAUGUAAUUUAUGACCUGCAGUUGGUCUGUUGGAGCUGUACACUGUGUGCGGGCCCAGUAACUUUAUGGAAGAUUGUAAAUUCCAGAAUUGCAGCUCUAGCCUGAUAUCCAGGAAUAGGUUGAAAUUUGUGUAUCACUUAAGUAGCCUCUCAGUAUAAUUGGAAUGGUAAAGAAGUUACAGGACACAGCAAUGUUAAUACCAUCUAGGACAAGUAAUUUUUGCAGGACAAACUUCUAGUAACCUCAAUAUAUUUUUUUAUUCUUUGAAAGAAACUGUAUUAUAUUGUAAAACCGUACAGAGUCUGUGUUGGGGAGAGGGGUGGUUGUUGGGGGGGAGGUGCUUGGUUGUUGUUGGGGUUUUUUUAAUUCAUCGCCUUUCAGGUUUCCCUUAAACAAACAAGAAACCCCAAGCCAUUCAAAGCACUUAAUAAUGUUGUGAAUGUUCUCAUUUUGAAGUUGGAAGGGCUACACUUGAUUCAGCAUGUGCUUAGUUGCAUGCUAGUAUUGGGUGCAUGAACUGGUCUUUCAGUACUUGUGUUUGUUAGUUCCACUGAUGGAUUGCUUUGAACAGACGUGUGCACGGCAUUACGGGAUCAGCCCUCUUGUACUUCAUGUUUAGACCUUAACCACGCCAUGGAGAUCUUUCCAAAUAGGUGCCUAAAUCACAGAAACAGAUAAUGAAUGUCUUAUGUUUGAGUUUUUAGCAAGAUUACUAUACAUGCUUCUAAGAGAUUACCAUUGUACAGAAAAGCAAUAUAUUUUGUAACUUUUCUUAGAACCAAGGUAUUGAUGCAUAUUUAAAUAUAUUUUAUUUUCAAAUGGCAUGAAUAUUUCACAGUAAUUAUUUCUUUAAGAAAAGUCUGUCAGCAGUUGCUAUCUGUGCUGUUAAAAUGCUAGAAUUUUAAUUUGGGGAUCCUAGCCUGCAUAAACUCAUGUUGAAGCCACAUUAAAUACUUUGAAUUCUUUUUA